UACGAAGGGGGCUAGCGUUGCUCGGAAUCACUGGGCGUAAAGGGUGCGUAGGCGGGGCUUUAAGUCAGGGGUGAAAUCCUGGAGCUCAACUCCAGAACUGCCUUUGAUACUGAGGAUCUUGAGUACGGGAGAGGUGAGUGGAACUGCGAGUGUAGAGGUGAAAUUCGUAGAUAUUCGCAAGAACACCAGUGGCGAAGGCGGCUCACUGGCCCGUAACUGACACUGAGGGACGAAAGCUAGGGGAGCGAAUGGG
Molecule: ribosomal RNA, 253 nt
Filed under: uncultured bacterium
Lineage: Bacteria
Description: partial 16S ribosomal RNA
Rfam family: Bacterial small subunit ribosomal RNA
Source: RNAcentral